CCUGGCUCCCAGGGAGAGGCACAGCGUCGGUCAGCAGACAAAUGGACACCCUCCCCGUCAUAACCCGCCAGGCACUGCCGGAGGGAGUGAACACGUGGCCUGGCACAUCUGGGCAUUUCCAACUGUUGGACGCAGGGUUCUUCCAGCAUGCCCGUUUUAGAAACCCCACUAUGAGGUUCGCCUGCGGUGGUGCGAACCCCAGGCUCACUCGUCGCUCUGACUGAAAGCCAGGGAGAAAACAGGAAGAAAGAAGCUGGGAAUGCCCACAGGCAGAGGGAAGGUGCCAGGGCCUGGCGGCCGGGAGAGGCCUCCCCGUGUGAUUCCAGUGGCCGCCAGGCAGUUCAGAGUGUUCAAGUGCACAGAGAUGAAUGGAACCAUUUCUGCCCUCCGGAGCUUGGGAGUUGAGCAUGAGCUGUGUCAUGGGUGGCAAACUGCAUGUGCAGUCAGGGAGGGCUUCCUGGAAGAGGUCACCCGGCUCCCGGCUGGCCCCUGAAUGGCUGUCGCUGCCGGAAUGACUGCCCGAGUCCGAGACCCUGCUCAGGUCGCUGUUCUGGGAGGAAUUCUGAGAGCUGGGGCCGCUGUCCAGCUCAUCCCAGCCCCCUCCGGCCUGCCCAGGCUGAUGCCUCACAGCUGGAGGAAACAGGACAGCCGGUGAGAUCCCUGGGGCUUCAGGCCAGCCCCAUGCCCACCUCCCGGGGCCCUGGACCAGGAGGCCUCGGGGGCUGAGUCCUGAGCUGAGGAUGGGUGGCCACCUUGGCUCCAGCUUCAGCAAACACCAGCCCCAUGGGCAUGUGCUUCCGCCGCGGGUCCCACCC
This 815-nucleotide long non-coding RNA is filed under the name Homo sapiens (human). RNAcentral describes it as "TEPSIN antisense RNA 1". Lineage: Eukaryota; Metazoa; Chordata; Mammalia; Primates; Hominidae. The record is from RNAcentral.